GCCUAAACUAUUAGGUUGGUGCAAAAGUAAUCACGUUUUUUGCCAUUACUGUCAGUGGGAAAAACUGCUAUUACUUUUGCACCAACCUAAUAACACACUCACUGUGGGGG
Molecule: microRNA precursor, 110 nt
Organism: Colobus angolensis palliatus
Lineage: Eukaryota; Metazoa; Chordata; Mammalia; Primates; Cercopithecidae
Source: Ensembl